GCACUGCUGAAAAGUCCCAGAAUAGAACGAAAUGGCCGUUCAGUGC
This is a non-coding RNA of Schistosoma mansoni, 46 nucleotides long. The record is from Rfam. NCBI's taxonomy places the organism in Eukaryota, Metazoa, Platyhelminthes, Trematoda, Strigeidida, Schistosomatidae.